RNAcentral lists this ribosomal RNA (397 nucleotides) under uncultured fungus. RNAcentral's name for it is "eukaryotic LSU rRNA". The stretch from base 1 to 113 matches the Rfam family "5.8S ribosomal RNA", at positions 42 to 154 of the family's 154-position model. Lineage: Eukaryota; Fungi. The record is from RNAcentral.
AACGCAGCGAAGGGCGAUACGUAAUGUGAAUUGCAGAAUUCAGUGAAUCAUCGAAUCUUUGAACGCAUAUUGCGCUCUUUGGUAUUCCGAAGAGCAUGCUUGUUUGAGUAUCAGUAAACACCUCAACCUCCUCUUGAUUUUUCAAAAGGAGGGUGGACUUGAGCUAUCCCAACAACCUUUACCGGUAGGCGGGCGGCUUGAAAUGCAGGUGCAGCUGGACUUUUAUCUGAGCUAAAAGCAUAUCUAUUAGUCCUCGUCAAACAGGAUUAUUACUAUUGCUGCAGCUAAUAUAAAGGUCGAAUGUACUAUACGCUGACUGAUGCAGGAUUACCAAGUUUUACCUAGUAAAACUUGUAAACUCGAUCUCAAAUCAAGUAAGACUACCCGCUGAACUUAA